Molecule: ribosomal RNA, 539 nt
Filed under: uncultured bacterium
Lineage: Bacteria
Description: bacterial SSU rRNA
Rfam family: Bacterial small subunit ribosomal RNA
Source: RNAcentral
UGAGGAAUAUUGGUCAAUGGACGUAAGUCUGAACCAGCCAAGUAGCGUGCAGGAUGACGGCCCUAUGGGUUGUAAACUGCUUUUGUAUGGGGAUAAAGUCAAUCACGUGUGAUUGUUUGCAGGUACCAUACAAAUAAGGACCGGCUAAUUCCGUGCCAGCAGCCGCGGUAAUACGGAAGGUCCGGGCGUUAUCCGGAUUUAUUGGGUUUAAAGGGAGCGUAGGCUGGAGAUUAAGUGUGUUGUGAAAUGUAGACGCUCAACGUCUGACUUGCAGCGCAUACUGGUUUCCUUGAGUACGCACAACGUUGGCGGAAUUCGUCGUGUAGCGGUGAAAUGCUUAGAUAUGACGAAGAACUCCGAUUGCGAAGGCAGCUGACGGGAGCGCAACUGACGCUGAAGCUCGAAGGUGCGGGUAUCGAACAGGAUUAGAUACCCUGGUAGUCCGCACAGUAAACGAUGGAUGCCCGCUGUUGGUACCUGGUAUCAGCGGCUAAGCGAAAGCAUUAAGCAUCCCACCUGGGGAGUACGCCGGCACGGUG